Neodiprion fabricii is the source of this 289-nucleotide long non-coding RNA. RefSeq lists it as uncharacterized. The transcript is spliced from 2 exons. The record is from RefSeq and is a predicted model, not a curated record. NCBI's taxonomy places the organism in Eukaryota, Metazoa, Arthropoda, Insecta, Hymenoptera, Diprionidae.
GCACCUGAUCAGGUAAGUCAUCCAGCUUGCCCUGAACGAAAGAACGGACCGGUGUUCCCAGCCUGGUAGCUCUGCUUCUGCUGCCAGUUUCUGAUCGUCGGAUCGGUCAAGUCUCGCUCGGCUACGAAUCAGUCGCUGCGCCAUCCUCGACGGGAACGGUUCGGCUGUGUUACUUUGAAAAAUACACGAUUCGUACGUUCGCUGCGGCUGCGAGAUCGCCAACGGGAUCGGUUGGAUUUCUACCACGAAAUAACGUCUGUCGCACGAGAUUGCGACAAAUAACGGAUAG